UGGGGAAUAUUGCACAAUGGGCGAAAGCCUGAUGCAGCGACGCCGCGUGAGGGAAGACGGCCUUCGGGUUGUAAACCUCUUUCAGCCCCGACGAAGCGAAAGUGACGGUAGGGGCAGAAGAAGCGCCGGCCAACUACGUGCCAGCAGCCGCGGUAAGACGUAGGGCGCGAGCGUUGUCCGGAUUUAUUGGGCGUAAAGAGCUCGUAGGCGGCUUGUUGCGUCGACUGUGAAAACCCGCGGCUCAACCGUGUGGUCUGCAGUCGAUACGGGCAGGCUAGAGUUCGGUAGGGGAGACUGGAAUUCCUGGUGUAGCGGUGAAAUGCGCAGAUAUCAGGAGGAACACCGGUGGCGAAGGCGGGUCUCUGGGCCGAUACUGACGCUGAGGAGCGAAAGCGUGGGGAGCGAACAGGAUUAGAUACCCCUGUAGUCC
Molecule: ribosomal RNA, 430 nt
Filed under: uncultured bacterium
Lineage: Bacteria
Description: bacterial SSU rRNA
Rfam family: Bacterial small subunit ribosomal RNA
Source: RNAcentral